This 434-nucleotide ribosomal RNA is filed under the name uncultured bacterium. RNAcentral describes it as "partial 16S ribosomal RNA". It matches the Rfam family "Bacterial small subunit ribosomal RNA", at positions 29 to 507 of the family's 1533-position model. The record is from RNAcentral.
AGCGAACGCUGGCGGCAGGCCUAACACAUGCAAGUCGAACGAACCUUUCGGGGGUAGUGGAGGACGCGCGCGUAACACGUCUGAACGUGCCCCUAGGUUCGUAAUAACUCAUGGAAACUUGUUCUACUACCGAUUGUGCCCUUCGCGCGUAAGACUAAUCGGCGUUCGGACGGCCCGCGUCCGAUUCGCUCGUCGGUUGAGGUAAUGGCUCACCGAGGCGGAGAUCAGUACCGGGCCUGAGAGGACGAUCAGCCACAUUGGGACUCAGACACCGCCCACACCCCUACGGGAGGCAGCAGUGGGGAAUCUUGCGCAAUGCGCGAAAGGGUGACGCAGCCAUGCCGGGUGAAUGAUGAAGGGCUUAGGAGUGGACGAUCUUUUCCCCGGGGACGAUAAUGCCGGUACCCGGAGAAGAAGGCCCGCCUAACUUCGUG